This 280-nucleotide ribosomal RNA is filed under the name uncultured bacterium. RNAcentral describes it as "partial 16S ribosomal RNA". It matches the Rfam family "Archaeal small subunit ribosomal RNA", at positions 456 to 735 of the family's 1478-position model. The record is from RNAcentral.
UGCCAGCAGCCGCGGUAACACCGGCAGCUCAAGUGGUAGCCAUUUUUAUUGGGCCUAAAGCGUUCGUAGCCGGUUUGAUAAGUCUCUGGUGAAAUCCUAUGGCUUAACUGUGGGAAUUGCUGGAGAUACUAUUAGACUUGAGGUCGGGAGAGGUUAGCGGUACUCCCAGGGUAGGGGUGAAAUCCUGUAAUCCUGGGAGGACCACCUGUGGCGAAGGCGGCUAACUGGAACGAACCUGACGGUGAGGGACGAAAGCCAGGGGCGCGAACCGGAUUAGAUA